GCUCAACAGAAGAUUUGACUUGGAAUAACAAGAGUUUUAGUCUUUGGGACAGCAGGAUGAAGCCCUGUGUGCAAGCACCAUGGCCACGACCCAUUGGAUUCCCUAAGCUGGAAGAAAAGACUCAGGGACGACUCUAUCUUCAAAAGUGUGGGUGUUGCUGCAUUGUUAAAGGAUAUCUGCAUAGCAAGGAGAAGUUCAGAAAAAGUCUGCUGAAUUUGUUUCAUAAUGCACAUGAACUUGCACCUUUCUUGACAAUAAGGAAGGAUAGAUUUUUAUUCCAAUCCAUUCUGUGGAAAAACACCAGCCAAGACUCUGCUCUGACAGCACCAGAGUAA
RNAcentral lists this long non-coding RNA (335 nucleotides) under Cyanistes caeruleus (blue tit). RNAcentral's name for it is "lncRNA (ENSCCEG00000013823.1)". Lineage: Eukaryota; Metazoa; Chordata; Aves; Passeriformes; Paridae. The record is from RNAcentral.